GUCCACGCUGUAAACGAUGUAUGCUAGUUGUUGGCCCUUUGGGGCCAGUGAUGCAGUUAACGCAGUAAGCAUACCACCUGGGGAGUACGUCGGCAACGAUGAAACUCAAAGGAAUUGACGGGGGCCCGCACAAGCGGUGGAGCAUGUGGCUUAAUUCGAUGCAACGCGAGGAACCUUACCUGGGCUAAAUCCACAGUGCAACCUCCCGAAAAGGAGGGUCCCUUCGGGGCACUAUGGAAGGUG
This 243-nucleotide ribosomal RNA is filed under the name uncultured bacterium. RNAcentral describes it as "partial 16S ribosomal RNA". It matches the Rfam family "Bacterial small subunit ribosomal RNA", at positions 793 to 1040 of the family's 1533-position model. The record is from RNAcentral.